GGAAGGAAGGAAGGAAGGAAGGAAGGAAGGAAGGAAGGAAGGAAGGGAGGUUGGCCAGUGUGAGAGUAGGAAAAUAUUUGCUUUAAUCCAUCCCCUCUUCGGUAAUUAUUUUCCUGAUGGUAUUUUGUUUUCAAUGAAGAUGUUUAAAAAAGCAACUAUCAAGGUGAAAGUUGAGGCAAUGUAGUAUCUUGACUUCAGGCAGAAGAGUCUGGAAGCCAGGAGGUAGGAAGAACAGGUUCCCGCCAAUGAGAAGCCAUUUGUCUCCAGGCUCAGAACAAAUGCUGUAGGGUUAAAGGUUCAAGAGAAGAAGUAUGCUGUAGGUCCAGCAUGUGAGGGAAUUACAUCUGUUGGAACCCGGGAGAGAUGCCAUUUCACCCUUCCCCCUGAGUUGAGACUGGCCCCAUCUUUGACCUCCUUCCAAAAGUCCUACGAAGCAUGAUUGUAUCAACAGGCUUGAAGAUCUCAAAGUAAUGUGGAAUUAGUGAGGAGGCUGCAUUGCCUUUUCCAUCAAAUUCUCUCCGAUCUGUUAAUAGCACAUACUGUUGUUUGUUUUUCAUGGUGUGCCACCCAGAGCCACAUCUUGUGAUACAGGCAGCUAUAUACAGUAAAUAUGAAUAAAUAAACGGCUUGCAUGUU
Pantherophis guttatus is the source of this 636-nucleotide non-coding RNA. The record is from RefSeq and is a predicted model, not a curated record. NCBI's taxonomy places the organism in Eukaryota, Metazoa, Chordata, Lepidosauria, Squamata, Colubridae.